Molecule: ribosomal RNA, 253 nt
Filed under: uncultured bacterium
Lineage: Bacteria
Description: partial 16S ribosomal RNA
Rfam family: Bacterial small subunit ribosomal RNA
Source: RNAcentral
UACGGAGGGUGCGAGCGUUGUCCGGAAUCACUGGGCGUAAAGGGCGCGUAGGUGGCGGGAUAAGCGUGCGGUGAAAGCCCGGGGCUCAACUCCGGGUCGGCCGUGCGGACUGUCUUGCUUGAGCAUAGUAGAGGCAGGUGGAAUUCCGGGUGUAGCGGUGGAAUGCGUAGAGAUCCGGAAGAACACCGGUGGCGAAGGCGGCCUGCUGGGCUAUUGCUGACACUGAGGCGCGACAGCGUGGGGAGCAAACAGG